Molecule: ribosomal RNA, 1452 nt
Filed under: uncultured organism
Description: SSU rRNA
Rfam family: Bacterial small subunit ribosomal RNA
Source: RNAcentral
UGAACGCUAGCUACAGGCUUAACACAUGCAAGUCGAGGGGCAUCAGGAAGAAAGCUUGCUUUCUUUGCUGGCGACCGGCGCACGGGUGAGUAACACGUAUCCAACCUGCCCUUUACUCGGGGAUAGCCUUUCGAAAGAAAGAUUAAUACCCGAUAGCAUAAUGAUUCCGCAUGGUUUCAUUAUUAAAGGAUUCCGGUAAAGGAUGGGGAUGCGUUCCAUUAGGUUGUUGGUGAGGUAACGGCUCACCAAGCCUUCGAUGGAUAGGGGUUCUGAGAGGAAGGUCCCCCACAUUGGAACUGAGACACGGUCCAAACUCCUACGGGAGGCAGCAGUGAGGAAUAUUGGUCAAUGGGCGGUAGCCUGAACCAGCCAAGUAGCGUGAAGGAUGAAGGCUCUAUGGGUCGUAAACUUCUUUUAUAUAAGAAUAAAGUGCAGUAUGUAUACUGUUUUGUAUGUAUUAUAUGAAUAAGGAUCGGCUAACUCCGUGCCAGCAGCCGCGGUAAUACGGAGGAUCCGAGCGUUAUCCGGAUUUAUUGGGUUUAAAGGGAGCGUAGGUGGACUGGUAAGUCAGUUGUGAAAGUUUGCGGCUCAACCGUAAAAUUGCAGUUGAUACUGUCAGUCUUGAGUACAGUAGAGGUGGGCGGAAUUCGUGGUGUAGCGGUGAAAUGCUUAGAUAUCACGAAGAACUCCGAUUGCGAAGGCAGCUCACUGGACUGCAACUGACACUGAUGCUCGAAAGUGUGGGUAUCAAACAGGAUUAGAUACCCUGGUAGUCCACACAGUAAACGAUGAAUACUCGCUGUUUGCGAUAUACAGUAAGCGGCCAAGCGAAAGCAUUAAGUAUUCCACCUGGGGAGUACGCCGGCAACGGUGAAACUCAAAGGAAUUGACGGGGGCCCGCACAAGCGGAGGAACAUGUGGUUUAAUUCGAUGAUACGCGAGGAACCUUACCCGGGCUUAAAUUGCAGUGGAAUGAUGUGGAAACAUGUCAGUGAGCAAUCACCGCUGUGAAGGUGCUGCAUGGUUGUCGUCAGCUCGUGCCGUGAGGUGUCGGCUUAAGUGCCAUAACGAGCGCAACCCUUAUCUUUAGUUACUAACAGGUCAUGCUGAGGACUCUAGAGAGACUGCCGUCGUAAGAUGUGAGGAAGGUGGGGAUGACGUCAAAUCAGCACGGCCCUUACGUCCGGGGCUACACACGUGUUACAAUGGGGGGUACAGAAGGCAGCUAGCGGGUGACCGUAUGCUAAUCCCAAAAGCCUCUCUCAGUUCGGAUCGAAGUCUGCAACCCGACUUCGUGAAGCUGGAUUCGCUAGUAAUCGCGCAUCAGCCACGGCGCGGUGAAUACGUUCCCGGGCCUUGUACACACCGCCCGUCAAGCCAUGGGAGCCGGGGGUACCUGAAGUGCGUAACCGCAAGGAUCGUCCUAGAGUAAAACUGGUGACUGGGGCUAAG